UCCAUUAUUAGAUCCAAAACAUUUUUGUUCACAAAACCUAAGUCAUCAGAAUUUUCUCCCUGGUGUGCCAAAGUCAUAAAAUAUCUCUCUACACGCCGAUCUAGCUCUACGUUCUCUCUCCAGAUCUGCCGUCGAUCCACACCGAUCCGCCGCCGUCAUAACCAGAUCUGAACCACCGAUCCUCUCUCUCUCUCUCUCUUUAUCUCCGAUCGUGAACCACCAAUCUGAAUCAGAUCGUGAACCAUUGACUUCGCAGAGAACUCCGUCGCCGGCGGUGGUGUUGAUCGGAGGUGCGAUGUUGAUUUAGAUUUGCAAGCUUAGACUCAAAAUACAUGAUUGCCAUAGGAAAUACAUCAUUCCAAAGUUUGGCAGAUUAUGGCGCUCACACGAAUCUGAACUAUCACAAAAAAUAAGACCUUUUGGUAAAAGUGCUAAGCUAGCCACAAUAUUGUCCUCACCAAACCUGAUAAUGUAGAAAUGGUUGAAUGGAAAGCAUUUGUGAAACAAUGAACUUCCAAAGAAUUUAAGGCAAAGAGUAAAAGAUUUAGGGCAAUGAGGAAAAAGCAAAUCCUCUUACACACCAUGAGUCGUAAAGGUUAUGCAUGAUUAGAGGAUGAAAUGAUAAAUUUAAGAGUGAUUCAAGUAGUUUUUUUCCUUUAGUUAUCAUUUUUUUUUUCAUUUUUUUCUUCAGUCUGAUUUACGAUUUCAGCUGAAAAUUAAUUGUGCAUUCAGAUUGUAUUUUGUGUAGAAGUUUCGUGGGAUUUUCUCAGUUAGGAACAGGGUUUCUUCGUCCUUUUUUUUUAGGUAAUGUAUACUAUUUUGUUGGACCAUUAUUUCUUUGUUAUUUUUAUGUAUGGUUUGUUAUGCGAAAUAUUGCUUUAAAUUUUUCUCCGUU
Non-coding RNA from Camellia sinensis, 895 nucleotides. The record is from RefSeq and is a predicted model, not a curated record. NCBI's taxonomy places the organism in Eukaryota, Viridiplantae, Streptophyta, Magnoliopsida, Ericales, Theaceae.